RNAcentral lists this unclassified non-coding RNA (205 nucleotides) under Hevea brasiliensis (rubber tree). Lineage: Eukaryota; Viridiplantae; Streptophyta; Magnoliopsida; Malpighiales; Euphorbiaceae. The record is from RNAcentral.
GGUGGUAUAGGGCAUUUUGCGAAGGAUUGUACCAGUCCUCGCAGAUCUGGGCGACCCACCACCACUGAAGGGUCAGUCUAAGGUUCACAGCCAGCUAGUACGGGCAGAGGCAGAGGUAAGGUCAGUAUCUCAGGCAGUCAGGGUGCAGUUAAUCAGUCAGAGUAAGGUAGUGCUCCAGCCAGAGUAUAUACUAUGCAGCAGAGAG